GGAUACCCGGCAGGGGUUGCGCCGACGGGGUUGCAGGGCCGCGCAUCCGGGGGCUGCCGCCCCCGGGCGCAGGUCCGGCUGGGGAGCGGAACGGCAUGGGAGGGCCGGCCGCAGCGGGUGACAGCCCCGUACGCGAACCCAGACCGGACGGCGCGACGCGGUCCCUGAGUAGGGCCGGGCACGUGAAACCCGGUCCGAACCUGGGUGGACCACCAUCCAAGCCUGAGUACUACCCUGUGACCGAUAGCGCACCAGUACCGUGAGGGAAAGGUGAAAAGCACCCCGGGAGGGGAGUGAAACAGUACCUGAAACCGUGCGCCCACGAGCAGUCGGAGCACCUUUAUGGUGUGACGGCGUGCCUUUUGUAGAAUGAGCCAGCGAGUCGCUGGCGCGGGGCGAGGUUAACCGAAAGGGAGCCGGAGCGAAAGCGAGCCUUAACAGGGCGACUUGAGUCCCGCGCCGCGGACGCGAAGCCGGGUGAGCUAUCCGUGGGCAGGCUGAAGCGGGGGUAAGACCCCGUGGAGGGCCGAACGCACGUCGGUUGAAAACGGCGGCGAUGACCUGCGGAUAGGGGUGAAAGGCCAAUCAAACCCGGAGAUAUCUCGUUCUCCCCGAAAUAGCUUUAGGGCUAGCGUCGCGCGUUCACCGCCGGAGGUAGAGCACCGGAUGGACGAGGGGGCUUCGCCGCCUACCGAAUCCAACCGAACUCCGAAUGCCGGCGGCCCAGAGCGCGGCAGUCAGAGCAUGUGGGCUAAGCUGUGUGCUCGAGAGGGAAACAGCCCGGACCGCCCGCUAAGGUCCCCAAGUUCCAGCCGAGUGGCAAAGGAUGUGCGUCCGCCCAGACAACCAGGAUGUUGGCUUAGAAGCAGCCAUCCAUUCAAAGAGUGCGUAACAGCUCACUGGUCGAGUGGACAUGCGCCGACAAUACACGGGGCUAAGCUGGACACCGAAGCGGCGGGAUUUUAAUUCAUUAGAAUCGGUAGGGGAGCUUCCCAUGGGCGGAGAAGCCGGAGGGCGACCGACGGUGGAGCGCAUGGGAGUGAGAAUGCUGGCAUGAGUAGCGAGAGACGAGAGAGUAACUCGUCCGCCGUGAACCCGAGGUUUCCUGGGCAAGGCUAAUCCUCCCAGGGUCAGUCGGGGGCUAAGGCGAGGCCGGGAGGCGUAGCCGACGCGCAGCAGGCAGACAUUCCUGCACCGCGCACGCGGCGCUACGACCGACGGGGCGACGGAUGGGGGUGGCUCGGCGGGGUUCUGGACGUCCCCGUGAUGGAGCGCGGCCCGCGGACCAGGGAAAUCCGGUCCGCACACAGGGCGAGGCUCCGGACGAAGCGACUGAGCGAAGCGAGUGAGCCCGAGGUCCCUAGAAAAACCCCUAGGCAGGCGCGUGCGCGCCCGUACCGCAAACCGACACAGGUGGGUGGGUAGAACAUACCGAGGCGAUCGGGUCAACCAUGGUCAAGGAACUCGGCACAAUGGCCCCGUAACUUCGGGAGAAGGGGUGCCCGCGCGUACGUGAACGGACUUGCUCCGGGAGCGGAGGCGGGCCGCAGUGGAGAGGCCCAAGCGACUGUUUACCAAAAACACAGGACUCUGCAGAAGCCGCAAGGCGACGUAUAGGGUCUGACGCCUGCCCGGUGCCGGAAGGUCACGCGGAGGAGUUAGCCGAUUCGGCGAAGCCCCGAAGCCAAGCCCCGGUAAACGGCGGCCGUAACUAUAACGGUCCUAAGGUAGCGAAAUUCCUUGUCGGGUAAGUUCCGACCUGCACGAAAGGCGCAACGACUUGGGCGCUGUCUCGACCAUGGACCCGGUGAAAUUGCACUGGUCGUGAAGAUGCGACUUACCCGCGGAAGGACGGAAAGACCCCGUGAACCUUCACUGCAGCUUGGCAUUGGCCGCUGGUCCCGCGUGUAGAGGAUAGGCAGGAGGCACAGAUCCGGAGGCGCCAGCCCCCGGGGAGCCGCCCUUGGAAUACUGCCCUCGCGCGACCGGCGUCCUAACCCGAGGCCGUCAACCGGCUCGGGGACCGUGCCAGGCGGGCAGUUUGACUGGGGCGGUCGCCUCCUAAAGGGUAACGGAGGCGCGCGAAGGUCCGCUCGGGACGGUCGGCAACCGUCCUUUUGAAUGCAAGAGUACAAGCGGGCUUGACUGCGAGGCCCACAAGCCGAGCAGGUGCGAAAGCAGGCUCUAGUGAUCCGGCGGCCCCGAGUGGGUGGGCCGUCGCUCAACGGAUAAAAGGUACUCCGGGGAUAACAG
Molecule: ribosomal RNA, 2253 nt
Filed under: human gut metagenome
Description: bacterial LSU rRNA
Rfam family: Bacterial large subunit ribosomal RNA
Source: RNAcentral